This is a non-coding RNA of Corynebacterium sp. KPL1855, 106 nucleotides long. The record is from Rfam. NCBI's taxonomy places the organism in Bacteria, Bacillati, Actinomycetota, Actinomycetes, Mycobacteriales, Corynebacteriaceae.
AUCUCGAGUGCGUGUAAGGACUCUGUCCGAGGCGGAUGAUUCUGGUGUACUUCCCCGAUAUCAGAAACCUGCCUCGGACAGGGCCCUAUAUGCACUCGUCGUGCUU